AAUAGAUACCCGGGUAGUCCAUGCCGUAAACGUUGGGCACUAGGUGUGGGGGACAUUCCACGUUUUCCGCGCCGUAGCUAACGCAUUAAGUGCCCCGCCUGGGGAGUACGGCCGCAAGGCUAAAACUCAAAGGAAUUGACGGGGGCCCGCACAAGGCGGCGGAGCAUGCUGAUUAAUUCGAUGCAACGCGAAGAACCUUACCAAGGCUUGACAUGCACCGGACGGCUGCAGAGAUGUGGCUUUCUUUGGACUGGUGCACAGGUGGUGCAUGGUUGUCGUCAGCUCGUGUCGUGAGAUGUUGGGUUAAGUCCCGCAACGAGCGCAACCCUCGUUCUAUGUUGCCAGCACGUGAUGGUGGGGACUCAUAGGAGACUGCCGGGGUCAACUCGGAGGAAGGUGGGGACGACGUCAAAUCAUCAUGCCCCUUAUGUCUUGGGCUUCAAGCAUGCUACAAUGGUCGGUACAAUGGGUUGCGAAACUGUGAGGUGGAGCGAAUCCCAAAAAGCCGGCCUCAGUUCGGAUUGGGGU
This 528-nucleotide ribosomal RNA is filed under the name uncultured bacterium. RNAcentral describes it as "bacterial SSU rRNA". It matches the Rfam family "Bacterial small subunit ribosomal RNA", at positions 777 to 1304 of the family's 1533-position model. The record is from RNAcentral.